Molecule: ribosomal RNA, 502 nt
Filed under: uncultured bacterium
Lineage: Bacteria
Description: partial 16S ribosomal RNA
Rfam family: Bacterial small subunit ribosomal RNA
Source: RNAcentral
AUUGAACGCUGGUGGCAUGCCUUACACAUGCAAGUCGAACGGCAGCGCGGGUGCUUGCACCUGGCGGCGAGUGGCGAACGGGUGAGUAAUAUAUCGGAACGUGCCCUAGAGUGGGGGAUAACUAGUCGAAAGAUUAGCUAAUACCGCAUACGAUCUACGGAUGAAAGUGGGGGAUCGCAAGACCUCAUGCUCCUGGAGCGGCCGAUAUCUGAUUAGCUAGUUGGUGGGGUAAAAGCCUACCAAGGCGACGAUCAGUAGCUGGUCUGAGAGGACGACCAGCCACACUGGGACUGAGACACGGCCCAGACUCCUACGGGAGGCAGCAGUGGGGAAUUUUGGACAAUGGGGGCAACCCUGAUCCAGCAAUGCCGCGUGUGUGAAGAAGGCCUUCGGGUUGUAAAGCACUUUUGUCAGGAACGAAACGGUGAGGGCUAUUAUCCUUAGCUAAUGACGGUACCUGAAGAAUAAGCACCGGCUAACUACGUGCCAGCCGCCGCCGUAA